UAAAUCUUUUUUGUUUUUUAUUUCUUAAUAUAUUCUUUUUCAAACUCAACAUUUCACUAGAAUCAACAUGAUUUAUUUCAUCAAAAUUAAUAAAAAUUUAAAUAGUUGUUUCCUACCCACAGCAAUACGUUAAAUUUUUUAAAAAAAAUUUGGGAACCAAAAUAAUAAUACAGACAAAGAUUGUGAACCAACAGUGCAGUUAACUAGCUAAGUUUAUUUCUAAAUGAAAUACAGGCAAAGAUUGUGAACCGACCGUCCCUAGAGUAAGUGGCAAAGGGCUUGGUGGUUGGUACUCGAGACCCAAGUUCGAAUCCUAGUUGAUUCACAUUUCUAGCUAAGUUUAUUUCUAAAUGAAAUAAAACGAAGCGGAUAGCAGACUACCUAUCUCUCUCUUAAAAAAAAAAAAAAAAAAAAAAAAAAAAAACCAGUGCAGUUUACUCUGAGUAGAGCUACUAUACUAUCAGAAGCAUAAAAAAUCUAGUGCUUCCCACUUUUUGAUCCUUACAUCAGCCCCUUUAAUCAUUUAUAAUCUUUGGAUUAAUACUAUUUACACUGGAAGGGCCACUCAACCCUAAAGAGACCACAAUCACUCCAACAGUACAAUUUUUGAUAUUAGAAUUAAAAAGUCGAAAACAGCAACUUUCUUAUGCUUCCAAUAGUAUAGUACCUCUGUACGUGAACUCUUUAGUCUUUUUUCCAUAAUAUUCUUUUUCACACUCAAUGAUUCAUUUGUAUUUUUUACUUUUUUUUUUCUUAUUUUUUU
Molecule: long non-coding RNA, 763 nt
Filed under: Ananas comosus (pineapple)
Lineage: Eukaryota; Viridiplantae; Streptophyta; Magnoliopsida; Poales; Bromeliaceae
Description: long non-coding RNA (ACOM_LNC030016)
Source: RNAcentral